Oreochromis aureus is the source of this 1807-nucleotide long non-coding RNA. RefSeq lists it as uncharacterized. The record is from RefSeq and is a predicted model, not a curated record. The transcript is spliced from 3 exons. Lineage: Eukaryota; Metazoa; Chordata; Actinopteri; Cichliformes; Cichlidae.
ACACACCUGACUGCAGCACUUUAUAUAUUCACAUUUCUCAUGCAUUCCUCAAUACUCACAACUCCUCACACCACAUUUUCAUCAACAUGGAACUGCUUACUUUCCACUCCUUUUAUACCCAGCACAUGGCACCUCCAUCCCCACCCAACAUACACACACACACUUCACUGCCAACCAACCACUAUACCCAGCCUAAAACACACAUACUCACUCCACUGCCAUCACUGUUCAAUUUCGAAUAUUUUUGGAAACGAAUAUAUAGCGUUUUGGAAAAGAGCUUUUUAAAUUUUAAUGAUCUUCUUUGGCUUAAUUUUUCCAGAUUCCUGCUUGCCCAGUAACUCUGAUUGACUUCUCUUCAGCAAAGUCAAAAAAACGAAAGCUUGAGUGUUCCAUUGAUGGCUGCACAAGUACACAAAAGGUUGGGAAAUCACUUCCAUGCCCAAGAGUGCAGAGAGAUUCAGAGACAUACUGUAGGUUUUUUGAGAGUUUAAGUAAAAACUGUCCAAGGAGUGCAGCACUGAUGUCUAGGGAACCUUACCACAAAGAAUUUGUCCCCCAGUCUAGCAUGCUUCCUAAAACUGUGCCUGAGUACAGAACACCAGAGACACUGCAGCUCCCCCCCAAAGACCUUGAAGAGCUAUGCCUGGACUUCCAGCUUGAAGAGCUCACCCUGUCCCAAGUCCAGGCUGUAGAGAGGGCGACUCGAAGUCAGAGUGCAAGCAGUAUUUGGUUUAGGCAAAGAGCUGGACGCGUAACUGCCUCUAAGCUGAAACAAGUUCUUAAGACCAACCCCCAGCAACCAUCAAAGAGCUUGAUCAAGGCCAUAUGCUAUCCAGAGGCAUAUAGGUUCACCACAGCUGCUACAAGUUAAGGAUGCAAACAUGAAGCACAAGCCAGAGGAGCAUAUGAGAAGCUUAUGAGCCAGGAGCAUGCAGGCUUCUCAUGUAUGGACAGCGGUCUCUGGCUGAACCCCAAGUGGCCAUACAUGGGGUCCUCCCUGAUGGGAUAGUCACUUGUGACUGUCAUGGAACUGGCAUCUGCGAGAUUAAGUGCCCACACUCUCAGAAAGAUGCGGUCAACCUGCGCAUGCGUGCUGGGGAGAAGGGCUUCUGCCUCAUCAGUGACGGGAUAAUGUCACACUGGACCCAACUCAUGACUACUAUUACCAAAUUCAGGCACAGCUUCACAUUGCAAAUGCAGAGUACUGUGACUUUGUUGUGUGGAACCGCAAUGACAUAUUUGUUGAAAGGAUUUUGCCUGACCUUGAGUUUUGGGAUGAUGCGAUUCCUAAAGUUGAGUGUUUUUUAGAAACAGUAUACUCCCAGAAAUACUGGGACAGCAAGUUACAAACAUACAUGUGUAAUGUGAUAAAAGGACGACAACAUAAUGACAUUUUGAAUAUUGUUAUGACCUGAUGGUAGUCAUUAUGAGUUCUGGCUAUUGUAUUUGCUCUGACGUAGCAUUAGAGCACAAAUUGUCAUUUAAUUUUAUUGUACAUUUAAUUGUGUCAUUUAAGUGUUGUGUAACACUACACAAUGAUUAAAUGCUAUUGAGGCAGCAUAAUAAUACAUUGGUGGUUUAUUUACAAGAUUAGACUUUUAAACAAAUAAACAAAAUAGAUUGCAAUCCAUCUCACAGUAUAAUACUGUACAAACUGCCAGCACAAUAUGACAGUUGGAGAAAAAUAUUUCAUUUGAAAACAUUUACAGACUAAUCAGGAGUCAGGACUUAGGUACUACUAUUACUCUACCCUGUUCUACUUAUCACCAGAGCCAAGCAGCAGAUACUGGACACUACUCUUCCUCUC